This 492-nucleotide ribosomal RNA is filed under the name uncultured bacterium. Its description in RNAcentral is "partial 16S ribosomal RNA". It matches the Rfam family "Bacterial small subunit ribosomal RNA", at positions 28 to 507 of the family's 1533-position model. The record is from RNAcentral.
GACGAACGCUGGCGGCGUGCUUAACACAUGCAAGUCGAACGGAAAGGCCCCCACUUUUUUGGUGGGGGUGCUCGAGUGGCGAACGGGUGAGUAACACGUGGGUGAUCUGCCCUGUACUUCGGGAUAAGCUUGGGAAACUGGGUCUAAUACCGGAUAGGACCAUGGUUUAGUGUCUCAUGGUGGAAAAAUUAUUGUUUUGGUGCAGGAUGAGCUCGCGGCCUAUCAGCUUGUUGGUGGGGUAAUGGCCUACCAAGGCGUCGACGGGAAGCCGGCCUGAGAGGGUGGCCGGCCACAUUGGGACUGAGAUACGGCCCAGACUCCUACGGGAGGCAGCAGUGGGGAAUAUUGCACAAUGGGAGCAAGCCUGAUGCAGCGACGCCGCGUGGGGGAUGACGGCCUUCGGGUUGUAAACUCCUUUCGUUAGGGACGAAGCCGCACCUUUUUUGGGUGUGGUGACGGUACCUUUGUUAAGAAGCACCGGCUAACUACGUG